Molecule: ribosomal RNA, 300 nt
Filed under: uncultured Oceanospirillum sp.
Lineage: Bacteria; Pseudomonadati; Pseudomonadota; Gammaproteobacteria; Oceanospirillales; Oceanospirillaceae
Description: bacterial SSU rRNA
Rfam family: Bacterial small subunit ribosomal RNA
Source: RNAcentral
GCGUAGGAAUCUGCCCGGUAGCGGGGAUAGCCCAGAGAAAUUUGGAUUAAUACCGCAUACGCCCUAAGGGGAAAGGAGGGAACUCUUCGGAGCCUUCCACUAUCGGAUGAGCCUGCGUCGGAUUAGCUUGUUGGUGGGGUAAUGGCCUACCAAGGCGACGAUCCGUAGCUGGUCUGAGAGGAUGAUCAGCCACACCGGAACUGAGACACGGUCCGGACUCCUACGGGAGGCAGCAGUGGGGAAUAUUGCACAAUGGAGGAAACUCUGAUGCAGCCAUGCCGCGUGUAUGAAGAAGGCCUC